GCUGCUGUGGUGUAGUGGUUAUCACGUCAGUCUUACACACUGAAGGUCUCCGGUUCGAUCCCGGGUAGCAGCA
RNAcentral lists this transfer RNA (73 nucleotides) under Triticum dicoccoides. RNAcentral's name for it is "tRNA tRNA-Val". It matches the Rfam family "tRNA". From Rfam's summary of the family: Transfer RNA (tRNA) molecules are approximately 80 nucleotides in length. The record is from RNAcentral. Lineage: Eukaryota; Viridiplantae; Streptophyta; Magnoliopsida; Poales; Poaceae.